CGCAGCGUAUCCGGCGCCGAUACUUCGGCUGACUGAUCCUCGGAAGUGGAAGAACCAGCGGUUUGCAACGAACGAGUUUGUUUGUGUAUUGUGGAACCAGCCGGCUCAGCUUUCGCUCAGCUGACCGUGUCAUUCCGCAAAUGUCUUUGUUUGCUUAGUUUGUUUAGUUAUGUGUUAUUUUGAAAGAUUUUGUCAACGGCUAAAUUAAAUAAUUAUAGUGGACAGGGCAGAACCUCGAAACCACUUUUACACUCUCACUCGAUCAUGUUCAGUUCAAAUAUAUCGUCAAGUUCAUUUCAAAUAAAUCACAAGUGAUGAGUCGGUGCGUUUAGAGAUCUGACCGUCUAAGAAUUGGAAGAACAGAAAGGUAGCCGGCGACAACAGUUUCGAGGGUUCACCUACAUUGAGAAACCACUUUUACACUCUCACUCGAUCAUGUUCAGUUCAAAUAUAUCGUCAAGUUCAUUUCAAAUAAAUCACAAGUGAUGA
RNAcentral lists this unclassified non-coding RNA (489 nucleotides) under Amphibalanus amphitrite. Its description in RNAcentral is "uncharacterized LOC122391322, transcript variant X1". The record is from RNAcentral. Lineage: Eukaryota; Metazoa; Arthropoda; Thecostraca; Balanomorpha; Balanidae.